This 494-nucleotide ribosomal RNA is filed under the name uncultured bacterium. Its description in RNAcentral is "partial 16S ribosomal RNA". It matches the Rfam family "Bacterial small subunit ribosomal RNA", at positions 28 to 507 of the family's 1533-position model. The record is from RNAcentral.
GACGAACGCUGGCGGCGUGCUUAACACAUGCAAGUCGAACGGUGAAGCGCCUUCCUUUUUGGUGGGUGUGGAUGAGUGGCGAACGGGUGAGUAACACGUGAGUAACCUGCCCCCUUCUUCUGGAUAACCGCAUGCAAGUGUGGCUAAUACGGGAUAUUCUGGGUCUGUCGCAUGAUGGAUCUGGGAAAGAUAUUGUUUCGGUGGGGGAUGGGCUCGCGGCCUAUCAGCUUGUUGGUGGGGUGAUGGCCUACCAAGGCGGUGACGGGUAGCCGGCCUGAGAGGAUGGACGGCCACACUGGGACUGAGACACGGCCAAGACUCGGACAGGAGCCAGCAGUAGCGAAUAGUGCACGAUGGGCGCAAGCCUGUGGCAGCGCCGCCGCGAGAGGGACGGAGGCCGUCGGGUUGGGAAGCUCUUGCGCCAGUGGAGCAGGCCUGCCUCGUUUGUGGAUGGGUGGACGGUAGCUAGAUAAGAAGCGACGGCUAACUACGUG